GGUUGUAGCUCAGUGGUAGAGUGCUUGCCUAGCAUGUGUGAGGCCCUGGGUUCAAUUCUCAGAACCA
RNAcentral lists this transfer RNA (67 nucleotides) under Ictidomys tridecemlineatus (thirteen-lined ground squirrel). RNAcentral's name for it is "Spermophilus tridecemlineatus (thirteen-lined ground squirrel) tRNA". It matches the Rfam family "tRNA". Rfam says of the family: Transfer RNA (tRNA) molecules are approximately 80 nucleotides in length. Their secondary structure includes four short double-helical elements and three loops (D, anti-codon, and T loops). Lineage: Eukaryota; Metazoa; Chordata; Mammalia; Rodentia; Sciuridae. The record is from Rfam by way of RNAcentral.